This 301-nucleotide non-coding RNA is filed under the name Mycobacterium intermedium. RNAcentral's name for it is "Mycobacterium smegmatis small RNA 1". It matches the Rfam family "Mycobacterium smegmatis small RNA 1". Rfam says of the family: Mycobacterium smegmatis small RNA 1 is highly expressed during stationary phase of growth. The record is from Rfam by way of RNAcentral. Lineage: Bacteria; Bacillati; Actinomycetota; Actinomycetes; Mycobacteriales; Mycobacteriaceae.
ACGGCAGCUCGGCAAGGCCAAGGGCGAUCCGGAAGAGAAGGAUCGUUCUCCCGACCCGAGCACCCAGCACGGUUCUCGGCACCCACGCGGAGUCAUAGCCGCGAUAAUGGCAGAAGUGUUGCGGGCCUGCGUAAUUGCGAAUAUCGGAAGGUGUCGACGGCCCUUUGGGUGGGGUUGCAGCCGGACGGUUCGUAAAAGCGCCGAGGCCAACCCACGCAGCCCAUAGGUGCACGCUUGGUAACCGGGAACCGUGCUGGCGGGCGGCGAUCCGAAAUCCUUCGGUCGCCGCCCGCUUUACGUU